GUCUACGGCCACGCCACCCUGAACAAACCCGAUCCAGUCUGAUCUCGGAAGCUAAGCAGGGUCGGGCCUGGUUAGUACUUGGAUGGGAGACCACCUAGGAAGACCAGGUGCUGUAGGCG
Non-coding RNA from Pteropus alecto (black flying fox), 119 nucleotides. NCBI's taxonomy places the organism in Eukaryota, Metazoa, Chordata, Mammalia, Chiroptera, Pteropodidae. The record is from Rfam.